Molecule: long non-coding RNA, 273 nt
Filed under: Elaeis guineensis (African oil palm)
Lineage: Eukaryota; Viridiplantae; Streptophyta; Magnoliopsida; Arecales; Arecaceae
Description: long non-coding RNA (EGUI_LNC058065)
Source: RNAcentral
UAGUUAGAUAAAAAUGUCCCUAUCAUAUUAUGAUAUCUUAGGCCAUAUUAUGGUAUUUUGGACUAUAUUAUGCCACAGAAUGUCAUAUAUUUUUUUUUCAAAAGAUAGAGAUAUUUUCGUCAUACAAAAUUUUUAAACGAAAAAAUCGACCUGGUAUUAAAUGCGCAUUGAAAAAUAGUGAUUACAUGGACCAAUCGAACGAGAUAGUGUACUUUACAUCGGAUUUUCUACACCGCCACAGUGCACAGAAUUUCUCUAAUAUCUUGUGGCAUA